CGCACUAUAGCCAAGUGGUUACGGUGACAGAUUCGGAGUCCCACAUUAUCUGCUCCUCUUUGAGGGCGCAGCUUCAAAUCCUGCUGGCGUCG
Molecule: non-coding RNA, 92 nt
Organism: Crucibulum laeve
Lineage: Eukaryota; Fungi; Basidiomycota; Agaricomycetes; Agaricales; Nidulariaceae
Source: the annotation of a GenBank genome assembly